CGAGCUGGCCGAGCCGAGCGCGAGUGUGUGCGUGUGCGAGCUGGUCGGGGGCGGCUGGUGCGGCGACGGCGGCAACGGCGGUGCGAGUCGCAUUGAACCGCGAUGAUCGUGCUCUGGGAGAUUGGAAAAUCUCCAUGCGUGCUAUGUUUGGCUAGGCAGACGAUGAACAAAUAGAGCCGGGUAUGAACGUAUGGCACAAGAUCUAACCAGCUUUUUCCGGGAUACCAGCAAGCGCUACAGCUGUUGCGCCGUCUUGUUACAGAAGGACUGGGCAUCCGCAGACACAAGUGCAGUCCUUCAACCACUGCUGGUGUCAAGUGCAGGAAAAUAACAAGGGGCUCACAGAUUUUUUACAGAGCAGCCGAGACAGCAUAAUGCUGGAUUGUAACUCUGUUGUUACAGUGUCUUUCACCAAGCACAGCUGUUCCGGGGACGGCCACGUGCUGUCUUUUUGCCUGUUUGCUACGGUCGACACGGUGGAGGCAGGUCGUGACAUUGCACGGACGGCUGGACACCGAAGCGACGCAGGCUGACCAUCAACCUUCUCAAGGGUGACCCAUCUUCAGCCUCCUGAGUACGCUGAAGGCAUCAUACUCACCUAGCCUGAGAAGCCAGUUCCGCCCUCCCUUGGCCACUGUGUCGAAGUUUCUGCGAAGCACCUUCUCGGCAGUGGUGCAGAGAUGCAGAAUGUCUGGGGAUGGACUGUGGAGACCGCCCUUGUCCUUGACACGCACCAGGUCACAUUUGUCAGUGGUGGCGUCGGCGUCGUCCUGGCUUGUGUCAGCUGUCGGGUCUUGCUGGCGCUUGUCCGACG
This 814-nucleotide long non-coding RNA is filed under the name Ixodes scapularis (black-legged tick). RNAcentral's name for it is "uncharacterized LOC121836078". Lineage: Eukaryota; Metazoa; Arthropoda; Arachnida; Ixodida; Ixodidae. The record is from RNAcentral.